Molecule: non-coding RNA, 260 nt
Filed under: Rattus norvegicus (Norway rat)
Lineage: Eukaryota; Metazoa; Chordata; Mammalia; Rodentia; Muridae
Source: RNAcentral
GGUCCUCCCCGGAUGAGGAGCGCACAUGCUUGCAAUUCUAACAUUGAGGUGUUGAGUGACAUCUGAUCCGCUAUUAGAGACUGAGGUUGCGGGUUCCCGAGGUCGAUGUGCCUUAUUGAAAUCUCACCGCUCCGUUCUGGCCACCUCUCUGGCUUCUUCCAUCACUUGCUCGCCGAAGCUGCCUGCCAGGAGUGGGUACCCGUCCAACACAAACUACUGCAGGACUCAAGAAGCGGAGAUAGUCCGGAAAGCGAGGCAUG